RNAcentral lists this ribosomal RNA (1452 nucleotides) under uncultured prokaryote. RNAcentral's name for it is "partial 16S ribosomal RNA". It matches the Rfam family "Bacterial small subunit ribosomal RNA". The record is from RNAcentral.
AGAGUUUGAUCAUGGCUCAGAACGAACGCUGGCGGCAGGCCUAACACAUGCAAGUCGAACGAACUCUUCGGAGUGAGUGGCGCACGGGUGCGUAACACGUGGGAGAACCUAUCUUUCGGUUCGGAAAAACGGAGGGAAACUUCCGCUAAUACCGCAUAAGCCCCUAGGGGGAAAGAUUUAUCGCCGAAGGAUGGACCCGCGUCUGAUUAGCUAGUUGGUGAGGUAAUGGCUCACCAAGGCGACGAUCAGUAGCUGGUUUGAGAGGAUGAUCAGCCACACUGGAACUGAGACACGGUCCAGACUCCUACGGGAGGCAGCAGUGGGGAAUAUUGGACAAUGGGGGAAACCCUGAUCCAGCCAUGCCGCGUGAGUGAAGAAGGCCUUAGGGUUGUAAAACUCUUUCACCAGGGAAGAUGAUGACGGUAGCGGGAGAAGAAGCCCCGGCUAACUCCGUGCCAGCAGCCGCGGUAAUACGGAGGGGGCGAGCGUUGUUCGGAAUUACUGGGCGUAAAGGGCGCGUAGGCGGGCUGACAAGUCAGGGGUGAAAGUCCUGGGCUCAACCUGGGGACUGCCUUUGAAACUGUUAGUCUAGAGUCCGGGAGAGGAUGGCGGAAUUCCCAGUGUAGAGGUGAAAUUCGUAGAUAUUGGGAAGAACACCGGUGGCGAAGGCGGCCAUCUGGACCGGCACUGACGCUGAGGCGCGAAAGCGUGGGGAGCAAACAGGAUUAGAUACCCUGGUAGUCCACGCCGUAAACGAUGUGUGCUAGCCGUUGGGGCCCUUAGGGUUCAGUGGCGCAGCUAACGCGAUAAGUAGACCGCCUGGGGAGUACGGCCGCAAGGUUAAAACUCAAAUGAAUUGACGGGGGCCCGCACAAGCGGUGGAGCAUGUGGUUUAAUUCGAUGCAACGCGCAGAACCUUACCAGCCCUUGACAUACCAAUCGCGAUUUCCGGAGACGGAUUUCUUCAGUUCGGCUGGAUUGGAUACAGGUGCUGCAUGGCUGUCGUCAGCUCGUGUCGUGAGAUGUUGGGUUAAGUCCCGCAACGAGCGCAACCCUCACCUCUAGUUGCCAUCGGGUUGCCGGGCACUUUAGAGGAACUGCCGGUGAUAAGCCGGAGGAAGGUGGGGAUGACGUCAAGUCCUCAUGGCCCUUACGGGCUGGGCUACACACGUGCUACAAUGGCGGUGACAAUGGGUUGCAACCUCGCGAGGGGGAGCUAAUCUCUAAAAACCGUCUCAGUUCGGAUUGUAUUCUGCAACUCGAAUACAUGAAGUUGGAAUCGCUAGUAAUCGUGGAUCAGCAUGCCACGGUGAAUACGUUCCCGGGCCUUGUACACACCGCCCGUCACACCAUGGGAGUUGGUUUUACCCGAAGGCAGUGCGCUAACCGAUCGGAGGCAGCCGACCACGGUAGGAUUAGCGACUGGGGUGAAGUCGUAACAAGGUAUCCGUA